AUGUCGUGAUGAGGGCACUUUCGUAAUAACUCCUUGAACUGCUCCCAUGCUUCAUAUAAAGAUUCUUUAUCAACUUGUUGAAAUGAAGUGAUUUUAUUUCAGAUCUU
Molecule: small nucleolar RNA, 107 nt
Filed under: Gossypium hirsutum (cotton)
Lineage: Eukaryota; Viridiplantae; Streptophyta; Magnoliopsida; Malvales; Malvaceae
Description: Plant small nucleolar RNA R71
Rfam family: Plant small nucleolar RNA R71
About the family: R71 is a member of the C/D box family of snoRNAs containing the C (UGAUGA) and D (CUGA) box motifs. Multiple nearly identical copies of this snoRNA have been identified in Arabidopsis, and it is thought to function as a 2'-O-ribose methylation guide for 18S ribosomal RNA.
Source: Rfam by way of RNAcentral